This 504-nucleotide ribosomal RNA is filed under the name uncultured Geobacter sp. RNAcentral describes it as "bacterial SSU rRNA". It matches the Rfam family "Bacterial small subunit ribosomal RNA", at positions 335 to 831 of the family's 1533-position model. Lineage: Bacteria; Pseudomonadati; Thermodesulfobacteriota; Desulfuromonadia; Geobacterales; Geobacteraceae. The record is from RNAcentral.
ACUCCUACGGGAGGCAGCAGUGGGGAAUUUUGCGCAAUGGGGGAAACCCUGACGCAGCAACGCCGCGUGAGUGAUGAAGGCCUUCGGGUCGUAAAGCUCUGUCAGAAGGGAAGAAAUGUGGGUGGCUAAUAUCCAUUCCACUUGACGGUACCUUCAAAGGAAGCACCGGCUAACUCCGUGCCAGCAGCCGCGGUAAUACGGGGGGUGCAAGCGUUGUUCGGAAUUAUUGGGCGUAAAGCGCGUGUAGGCGGUUUCUUAAGUCUGAUGUGAAAGCCCCGGGCUCAACCUGGGAAGUGCAUUGGAUACUGGGAGACUUGAGUACGGGAGAGGGUAGUGGAAUUCCCAGUGUAGGAGUGAAAUCCGUAGAUAUUGGGAGGAACACCGGUGGCGAAGGCGGCUGCCUGGACCGAUACUGACGCUGAGACGCGAAAGCGUGGGUAGCAAACAGGAUUAGAUACCCUGGUAGUCCACGCCGUAAACGAUGAGAACUAGGUGUCGCGGGUA